GAAGUCUGACGAGCAAUACCGCGUGAGGGAUGAAGGCCUACGGGUUGUAAACCUCUUUUCUCUAGGAGGAAGAUCUGACGUUACCUUGAGGAAUAAGCAUCGGCUAACCCUGCUGCCAGCAGCCGCGGUAAUACAGGGGAUGCAAGUGUUAUCCGGAAUUAUUGGGCGUAAAGCGUCUGCAGGUGGGUAAAUAAGUCCUUUGUUAAAUCUCUGGGCUCAACUCAGAAUCUGCAAAAGAAACUAUUUAUCUUGAGUAUGGUAGAGGUAAGGGGAAUUUCCAGUGGAGCGGUGAAAUGCGUACAUAUUGGAAAGAACACCAACAGCGAAGGCACCUUACUGGGCCAGUACUGACACUCA
Molecule: ribosomal RNA, 357 nt
Filed under: uncultured bacterium
Lineage: Bacteria
Description: bacterial SSU rRNA
Rfam family: Bacterial small subunit ribosomal RNA
Source: RNAcentral